AAAAGGAUUGAGAUGAACACACGGGAUGCCCUGAGAUCUUCAGAGAAGAACUUGUCUGCCCUGCUGAACCAGAUACAUAUGUGCAGGCUGAAUAAAUUUGACACCUUCCGGAAGAUUGUUGUUGAAGAGCUUGCCAGCCUUGAGAAGGAUACUCAAAUUCUGGCAGCUAUGGAGAAGGAAGCACUGGUGUGUACAGCUUCUUGUGUGCCAGCCCAAAAAGGUGCCUCUUCCCAGGUAACAGGGGGUUUCUUUGGGGUCUUUUUAGGAUUUCUGGAACGCGCAGCUGCUCAAACUGAAUACGUUCUACAACCAGCAGAAGGAAAGAAUUGA
RNAcentral lists this long non-coding RNA (330 nucleotides) under Junco hyemalis (dark-eyed junco). RNAcentral's name for it is "lncRNA (ENSJHYG00000015792.1)". The record is from RNAcentral. Lineage: Eukaryota; Metazoa; Chordata; Aves; Passeriformes; Passerellidae.